Molecule: non-coding RNA, 272 nt
Filed under: Albugo candida
Lineage: Eukaryota; Oomycota; Peronosporomycetes; Albuginales; Albuginaceae
Description: Eukaryotic small subunit ribosomal RNA
Rfam family: Eukaryotic small subunit ribosomal RNA
Source: Rfam by way of RNAcentral
GCUUGUCGGGCGGGUAGCAUUUAUUAGAUUGAAACCAAUGCAGCUUUCGGGCUGGUAUUGUGUUGAAUCAUAAUAACUGUGCGGAUCGCACUUUUGUGCGAUAAAUCGAUUGAGUUUCUGCCCUAUCAGCUUUGGAUGGUAGGAUAUGGGCCUACCAUGGCAUUAACGGGUAACGGGGAAUUAGGGUUUGAUUCCGGAGAGGGAGCCUUAGAAACGGCUACCACAUCCAAGGAAGGCAGCAGGCGCGUAAAUUACCCAAUCCUGACACAGGG